UGGGUCUAAUACCGGAUACGACCUUCGGCUGCAUGGCUGGGGGUGGAAAGGUUUACUGGUGCAGGAUGGGCCCGCGGCCUAUCAGCUUGUUGGUGGGGUAAUGGCCUACCAAGGCGACGACGGGUAGCCGACCUGAGAGGGUGACCGGCCACACUGGGACUGAGACACGGCCCAGACUCCUACGGGAGGCAGCAGUGGGGAAUAUUGCACAAUGGGCGAAAGCCUGAUGCAGCGACGCCGCGUGAGGGAUGAAGGCCUUCGGGUUGUAAACCUCUUUCAGCAGGGACGAAGCGAAAGUGACGGUACCUGCAGAAGAAGCACCGGCUAACUACGUGCCAGCAGCCGCGGUAAUACGUAGGGUGCAAGCGUUGUCCGGAAUUACUGGGCGUAAAGAGUUCGUAGGCGGUUUGUCGCGUCGUUUGUGAAAACUCACAGCUCAACUGUGAGCUUGCAGGCGAUACGGGCAGACUUGAGUACUGCAGGGGAGACUGGAAUUCCUGGUGUAGCGGUGAAAUGCGCAGAUAUCAGGAGGAACACCGGUGGC
RNAcentral lists this ribosomal RNA (544 nucleotides) under Rhodococcus sp. (in: high G+C Gram-positive bacteria). RNAcentral describes it as "bacterial SSU rRNA". It matches the Rfam family "Bacterial small subunit ribosomal RNA", at positions 158 to 716 of the family's 1533-position model. The record is from RNAcentral. Lineage: Bacteria; Bacillati; Actinomycetota; Actinomycetes; Mycobacteriales; Nocardiaceae.